UCUCCGUAGGUGAACCUGCGGAAGGAUCAUUAUUGUAUAACCGAGGUGCGAGGGCUGUCGCUGACCCGAAAGGUCGUGCACGCCCGAGUGCCCUCACACACAUCCAUCUCACCCCUAUGUGCACCACCGCGUGGGUCCCCCUUUGGCUUGUUCGGAGGGGGGCUUACGCUUUCACACAAACUUUGUAUGCAGUGUAGAAUGUAUUUUUUGUUUUUGCGAUCACGCAAUCAAUACAACUUUCAACAACGGAUCUCUUGGCUCUC
Molecule: unclassified non-coding RNA, 263 nt
Filed under: plant metagenome
Description: partial contains small subunit ribosomal RNA, internal transcribed spacer 1, and 5.8S ribosomal RNA
Source: RNAcentral